RNAcentral lists this ribosomal RNA (460 nucleotides) under uncultured bacterium. RNAcentral's name for it is "partial 16S ribosomal RNA". It matches the Rfam family "Bacterial small subunit ribosomal RNA", at positions 338 to 795 of the family's 1533-position model. The record is from RNAcentral.
CCUACGUGAGGCUGCAGUGAGGAAUAUUGGUCAAUGGGCUUACGCCUGAACCAGCCAAGUCGCGUGAGGGAAGACUGCCCUAUGGGUUGUAAACCUCUUUUGUCAGGGAGCAACGCCGGCUACGUUUAGCCGGACUGAGAGUACCUGAAGAAAAAGCAUCGGCUAACUCCGUGCCAGCAGCCGCGGUAAUACGGAGGAUGCGAGCGUUAUCCGGAUUUAUUGGGUUUAAAGGGUGCGUAGGCGGAAUGCCAAGUCAGCGGUAAAAUCGCGGGGCUCAACCUCGCUCCGCCGUUGAAACUGGCGUUCUUGAGUGGGCGAGAAGUAUGCGGAAUGCGUGGGGUAGCGGUGAAAUGCAUAGAUAUCACGCAGAACUCCGAUUGCGAAGGCAGCAUACCGGCGCCCAACUGACGCUGAAGCACGAAAGCGUGGGUAUCGAACAGGAUUAGAUACCCUGGUAGUC